Molecule: RNA transcript, 2004 nt
Organism: Haliotis rufescens (red abalone)
Lineage: Eukaryota; Metazoa; Mollusca; Gastropoda; Lepetellida; Haliotidae
Gene name: zinc finger protein 862-like
Exons: 6
Source: RefSeq, a predicted model, not a curated record
CUUCAAAAACAUCUCAGGAACUGUCAUAAAAAAAAGUUAACGUGUGUACAAGUAGCCGUGACAUACCGCAACGAGUCCUGUAUUCGAUCAUGCGAUGAAAUAUAUCGUGCUUAGAUUUGCAUAAGUAAACAGUCGACAGGUUGUGUGGAUUACGAGAUUUAUCAAUACCGCGAUACUGUAUAUGAUGUGUACAAUGUGACGAAUGUACAAUGAUGUAAGCAUUGUUUUUAUUUAGCGGACUCUGAAUAUUUAGUUAUUCUACAACAGACUUAUCAAGCUGAUAAUAAUUCAAUAUCUUGUGAGUCAUAUUAAGAAUUGCAAAACACAUUUUUGUUUGGGACCCCUAAUUUUAUGAUGAAGGGGUCCAAGUGACCCCAAGAAAAUUUAAGCCAGAGCAGACACUAUAUUGCUUUCAUAUUAAAUGGCAAACCAUUUCAGUUACAUAUUAAAUCAAAAUCAAGUCAUUUUAUUAGUGAAACCGCAGCGGCGUAAUCCCGGAAGUUUGUAGUAAACACGCAUUCGGAAUCUACUCCAGCGAACUUCCAUUUAUAGCCUUAUUGGUAUUGCAACUGAUGGUGCCUCCGUGAUGGUUGGAAAGAAGGCAGGUGUCGUGAAGAGGCUAAAGGACCAGACUAAUCGAGCAUUCAUCCAAGGUAUCCACUGUUCAGCCCACCGGCUUGAGUUGUCAUUUAAAGAUGCAACAACGGACCUGUCGCUUUGGACCAAGGCUUCCAAUCUCCUACUGAGUGUUUAUCUCUUUUAUCGCAACAGUCCCCUGAACAGGAGCAACCUAUUGCAGGCUUUUGCCAUGGAAGAUGUGGAAGUGCUCAUACCAUCCAGUGUUGGUGGCACCAGAUGGGUCAGCCAUAUCAAGAGAACGUUACGAAACCUCAUGACAUCCUAUGGACCAAUAAUUCAGCAUCUCCAGCAAAUCCAAAACCCUUGCGACCCAGCACACAACAAGGAGUCUGCUAGGAAAGCAGUGAGUUUCUUAAAACAUCUACAGGACAAGUCCAUGGUUGCUUUCCUGCUCUUCAUGUGGGACAUUGUCUGCUGCCUGUCUGCCGUCUCUGAGGCUUUUCAGAGAAAAGAGGCAACUUUGAGAGAUGUGUAUGUCGAAAUCCAGCUGGCUAAGAACACCCUGACAAACUUCUAUGAGAUGGAUGGUCCAAAAUUAAAACGUUUAACAGCAACUGAUGACAAUUCUGAGUCUGACAGUCUGGAGCUAUAUGAAGGGCAUCAUUUGUAAGGAAACCUAGUAUCCUUCAAGGCUGGAAGAGUCAAAGUACUGGACAGACUGGUCAGCAGUAGGACAGACAGAUUUGAAAUAGAUGCUGGUGUUGCAGAGGCAUGCUGCAUCACAAAUCUGAACCUAUGGCCCCUAACUUUGCAAGCAGGGAAACUUAAAUGUUAAUAGUUAAUAUCUGUGAAAUAGUUAUUUGUCAAAUUGAGGUAUUUGCGUCAAUUGUGUUCUGUAAAUAAGUGGUGCAAAUGUAUAUUUAGUGUGAUCAGAAUUACUGGUGUUCAUCUGAAUACUAAGUAAACCCUUGAUAAUUUUCUGAUAUAAGUUUUUAGUUGUUUAUGUUCAUGUUGAUUCAACAGACUUUGGUGAUGUUCAUUUGGCCAGCUUAGUGAAAACAUUUAAGCAAGGAUUGGAGAAAGCUGGAUUUGACCCAUGGCAAGUAGAACCAGAAUGGACAAGACUUAAGGAGUAGUGUAUAGACUUUAUCCAGAGCCAUCAAAAGCUUCAUGGAAGGACCUGAACAGUCAGCUGAAGGAACAAGGUUAUGAAAAUGUCCUUGGACUUGUUGAUUUGAUCUUUACCCUGCCUGCCAGCUCUGUUGAGACAGAGCGGGGCUUCUCAGCAAUGGGGCGGGUCAAGACAGACUGGCGGAGCAAUCUGAAAGACAGUCACCUGUCAGACCUCCUUAUGGUCUUGAUCGAAACCCCAGAGGUCAUGUCAUUUCAUCCUACUCCAUCUGUCCACCUAUGGAAUUCUAGAUC